AGCGAGAUACAGGGCACCAAAUGAAAAUUUCUCUUUCUCCCAAAGAAAACCACCUUGCUUGAAAUGUUCAAAACCAAUAAGAAAUACAUAACAACUUCCCAAAGUUUAACAUACAGAAUUUCACAUACAUUACAUCCAUAUACAUACUCAUAAAUUUCUUAUAACAGACAUGUUUACAUAUGUAUACAUAUACAUAUACCCAUCACCAUCAUGCACACCAUCCCAUCAUCAUCAUCACCAGCUCAUGCGCACUCCCUACUCGUACAUAACCGAGUCAUCCUCGGCUUAUGCGCACUCCCUACUCGCACAUAGCUGAGUCAAUGUCAUUGCACAACAAUAUAUUCAUAUAUAUAUAUCAACACAAUUUGGUAGUGCAUGAAUCAAUAAUAGUCACAUGUCACAACAUAAACUAUUUCUCAAGAGCUUGUUCCCAAGGCACUCAUUUUUAAGAAAAGUUGUAUAAAAUCAUUCAAACACUUUGCACAAAAUAGUUACAUUCCAAAAAUAGUUUUGAUAAGCAAUCCACUCACCAAUUUAUUGUUGAGCCUUUAGCUGACUCUAUUUCCCUUAAUGAUCCAAUUGGAAUGAUGGGACUUCAUUAGAACCUAGGUUCACAUUAGCAUAAGCAAUAGGUCAAUUCACACACUAUGAACCCUAAAAGCUAUCUCUUAGCUAGCUUUCAAUUGUCACAUUAAAUGGCUAUCUAUGUUCACUAUCUUAAUCACUAAAAAGUAAUGAACAUACUCAACAAUAAAACAGCUCAUACUCUCAAUUACUAGCCAUUAUUCACAGCUAAAAACCAAGCUUAAUUCAUCACUUACCCUAAGGCUCCUUUGUAGUUGAAUUCUCUUCCAAUAGCUUCCAUGCAAAUGGGGUAAUUCUCUCUCUCUCUCUCUCUCUCUCUCUCUCUCUCUAGAACGCCCAACUAGUGAGAGAAAGUAUGGAAAUAAGAUUUUUCAAGGGUUUUAAGGAAAGAGAGUGGAAGAAUUCAAGGGUUCUAGUCAUAAGGGCUCAAAGGUAUGAAAACUAGAGCUAGAGAGAGAAAAUCAUGCAAGUAAAUGGAGUAAACAAAUACAAUCUAAAAUAUCUAAAGCCGAGUAAAUGGAGACAGAUAAAAUAAUUUAAAAUACUGUAAUUCAUCACCUUUCAACCCAUUUCAAUCAAAUAAAAUCAAUUCAUAUAAAUCGAGUAAUCAACAUGGCUUAUGAAUUUCUUAAAACUUUGGCUCAUGCCAAAAUCAUUUUUAUACCCAAUUAUCAGGGAUGCCUUGAUUGAGGGCUAUCGCAACCGAGUCUGCCAAGGCUGGUAAAAAGUUAUGUACGCAUAAAUCAUGUUUUUAUUUUGCGAACACAGCCGUUCCUUGGUGUUGGCUAAGUUCACCCUCACGUGGUGGUUUGGCGUGAAGUGAACUCUAAAGUGUUAACCUCAGGAGUUAUCGAUCCGUGCCUCUCAUACUGAGGUAUGAAUAUGCACAAGUUUCGUGCCCCUCUAAUAGGAUGGUCCACAGAACCAGCCCACUACAGCAAGCUAAACCCACCAUACAAUAAAAUUUACAAUAGCAUGACAUGGAAAUUAUUUUAUUUUAUAGCUUCUCAAGGCAAAUUAACAUUUCAUACAUUUUCAACACAAAUACCAAUUCAGCCAUUCAUACAAAUAUUAUCAUAAGCCAUUCAAUUCAAACCAUGAUUUAUAACACAACAAUUAGUCUCCAAUUACUCUAUUUUCAAACCAUCAUUCAAUUUUAAAACAAUUUUAUGAAAUCAUUUCAUUAAAUCACAUUUUGUUUAUAAAAUCAAAAAAUUAAUCAUUUAAUUCGUUUACCAUAAAAUUCACAAAAUCGAAUAAAGCAUACUUUAAAUAAUUAAGAUGAUAGUAAGGUUACUCACUAUUUUGGGAGUCGAAUUCUAAGUACUUCGAUUCUUGAUUCCUCGGGUACUAUCUCUUUACUUUUGCCAGAAUGCUCACCACCUAGACAUAAUGCACAAUAAGCCAUUUACUACAUUGUGCUAAAUUAUUAUAAAACCAAUUCAGGCUUUAUACUAAUGUAUGAAAUGGGAUGCAAAUUGUUCGGAUUACCGUCUAAACACGGUAUUCUACACAAAUUGAUUUGGGUCCCUAAUUAAAUCGGCAUUGGCCUAAUUCGAUCUAUCACUCGAUUAAUUGGCCAAUAUGUCCAAUUCAACUCUAAUUAACUCCAUUUUUCUCCCAAUACUCAAAAUCAUUAAACACAAUUUAAAUAACUUGAAAUAUGGCAAAAUCAUCCUCACAUUUUCUCUUAAAAAAUUCAGCCAUGGUGGGUGCAUCAACACUAUAAUUUUUCCUACUUGAUUCUCACACCAUAAAUCACUAAUUCCUAAUCAAAUCACUUGAAAUAAAAUCAAAAUCAUCCUCAAUAUUCCACAUGGAGAAUUCGACCAAUGAUGGGUGAUGGGAGAACAUGAAUUUUUCUUACUUGAUUUUCAUGCUACACAUCACUAACUAACUAAAAACACUAAAAUAUCUUAAAAUCUAACUAAAUCAAGCAUCAAAACUUCUCUCUAAAUGUUCAGCCAACAAGAUACCCAUCAUGAAAUCAUGUGAUUCAACCAUGGAAAAUGCAAAAAAAUGAAUGGGAAAGGUAGAUCACAAGUCAAAAUCAAGAAAUUUUACCUUUGAUUGCUUGAUUACUUGAAUUUUCACACUUUACCCUUCAAUUUUUUGACCUAGGGUUUGUGUUCUUCUUUUCUUCCAUUAUUCUUC
Molecule: long non-coding RNA, 2739 nt
Filed under: Theobroma cacao (cacao)
Lineage: Eukaryota; Viridiplantae; Streptophyta; Magnoliopsida; Malvales; Malvaceae
Description: long non-coding RNA (TCAC_LNC000456)
Source: RNAcentral